RNAcentral lists this ribosomal RNA (253 nucleotides) under uncultured bacterium. RNAcentral's name for it is "partial 16S ribosomal RNA". It matches the Rfam family "Bacterial small subunit ribosomal RNA", at positions 524 to 776 of the family's 1533-position model. The record is from RNAcentral.
UACAGAGGUCUCAAGCGUUGUUCGGAUUCAUUGGGCGUAAAGGGUGCGUAGGCGGCGCGGUAAGUCGGGUGUGAAAUCUCGGAGCUUAACUCCGAAACUGCAUUCGAUACUGCCGUGCUUGAGGACUGGAAAGGAGACUGGAAUUUACGGUGUAGCGGUGAAAUGCGUAGAUAUCGUAAGGAAGACCAGUGGCGAAGGCGGGUCUCUGGACAGUUCUUGACGCUGAGGCACGAAGGUCAGGGGAGCAAACGGG